AGCCUGAACGCUGGCGGCGUGGCUAAGACAUGCAAGUCGUACGGAGGUAGCAAUACCUCAGUGGCGGACGGGUGAGUAAUGUAUCGCUAACGUACCCCGAGGUCUGGGAUAGCUGUCCGAAAGGAUAGGUAAUACCAGGAGACAUCACGAGAAGGCAUCUUCUCGGGCUCAAAGGGCAACCGCCCCGGGAGCGGGCUGGCAGGCGCAGUCGU
This 212-nucleotide ribosomal RNA is filed under the name uncultured bacterium. RNAcentral's name for it is "partial small subunit ribosomal RNA". It matches the Rfam family "Bacterial small subunit ribosomal RNA", at positions 26 to 248 of the family's 1533-position model. The record is from RNAcentral.